This 800-nucleotide ribosomal RNA is filed under the name Corallococcus coralloides. RNAcentral describes it as "bacterial SSU rRNA". It matches the Rfam family "Bacterial small subunit ribosomal RNA", at positions 59 to 839 of the family's 1533-position model. The record is from RNAcentral. Lineage: Bacteria; Pseudomonadati; Myxococcota; Myxococcia; Myxococcales; Myxococcaceae.
AAGUCGAGCGCGAAUAGGGGCAACCCUUAGUAGAGCGGCGCACGGGUGCGUAACACGUGGAUAAUCUGCCUGGAUGCCUGGGAUAACCAGUCGAAAGAUUGGCUAAUACCGGAUAAGCCCACGGUUUCUUCGGAGACUGAGGGAAAAGGUGGCCUCUGUAUACAAGCUAUCACAACCAGAUGAGUCCGCGGCCCAUCAGCUAGUUGGCGGGGUAAUGGCCCACCAAGGCGACGACGGGUAGCUGGUCUGAGAGGACGAUCAGCCACACUGGAACUGAGACACGGUCCAGACUCCUACGGGAGGCAGCAGUGGGGAAUUUUGCGCAAUGGGCGAAAGCCUGACGCAGCAACGCCGCGUGUGUGAUGAAGGUCUUUGGAUUGUAAAGCACUUUCGACCGGGACGAAACCGUAAAGCCUAAUACGCUUUGCCUUGACGGUACCGGGAGAAGAAGCACCGGCUAACUCUGUGCCAGCAGCCGCGGUAAUACAGAGGGUGCAAGCGUUGUUCGGAAUUAUUGGGCGUAAAGCGCGUGUAGGCGGCUUUGCAAGUCGGGUGUGAAAGCCCUCAGCUCAACUGAGGAAGUGCGCCCGAAACUGCAGAGCUUGAGUGCCGGAGAGGGUGGCGGAAUUCCCCAAGUAGAGGUGAAAUUCGUAGAUAUGGGGAGGAACACCGGUGGCGAAGGCGGCCACCUGGACGGUAACUGACGCUGAGACGCGAAAGCGUGGGUAGCAAACAGGAUUAGAUACCCUGGUAGUCCACGCCGUAAACGAUGAGAACUAGGUGUCGUGGAGUUGACCCCC